Leptinotarsa decemlineata (Colorado potato beetle) is the source of this 227-nucleotide long non-coding RNA. NCBI's taxonomy places the organism in Eukaryota, Metazoa, Arthropoda, Insecta, Coleoptera, Chrysomelidae. The record is from RefSeq and is a predicted model, not a curated record.
UGAAUGUUUUCAAUGAUCAAGUUGUACAAACAAUGCAUUUCAAUUUAGUACAACUCGUAACUAACAUUCUUGUAGUUCUUCACAAGUUUCGAGAAAUACAUACUCUUCGUUCGGUCGUUCUGUAUAAAGUGAUCAAGUUUGUGUGUGGGCGACAAACUCGGACUCCGCGUAUACCGGAAACAUCGAUUGAAGCGAUUCAGGAGAUAACACAUCUAAACGGCAUGAUG